This 81-nucleotide transfer RNA is filed under the name Fulvia fulva CBS 131901. RNAcentral describes it as "tRNA-Phe (AAA) (tRNA-Phe-AAA-1-1)". Lineage: Eukaryota; Fungi; Ascomycota; Dothideomycetes; Mycosphaerellales; Mycosphaerellaceae. The record is from RNAcentral.
GAUCACGUAGUGUAGUGGUUAUCGUGAGUGCAUCUGAUCAAAACUCCGAGGAGGUCCCCUGUUCGAUCCAGGGUGUGGUCA